Molecule: ribosomal RNA, 542 nt
Filed under: uncultured archaeon
Lineage: Archaea
Description: bacterial SSU rRNA
Rfam family: Bacterial small subunit ribosomal RNA
Source: RNAcentral
CAGCAGCCGCGGUAAUACGUAGGGGGCGAGCGUUGUCCGGAAUGAUUGGGCGUAAAGGGCGCGUAGGCGGCGACAUAAGUCUGAAGUGAAAGUCCCAAAUUCAAGUUAGGAAUUGCUUUGGAAACUAUAUUGCUUGAGUGCAGGAGAGGUCAUCGGAAUUCCCGGUGUAGCGGUGAAAUGCGUAGAGAUCGGGAGGAACACCAGUGGCGAAGGCGGGUGGCUGGACUGUAACUGACGCUGAUGCGCGAAAGUGUGGGGAGCAAACAGGAUUAGAUACCCUGGUAGUCCACACCGUAAACGAUGAAUGCUAGGUGUAGGUGGUAUCGACCCCAUCUGUGCCGUCGCAAACGCAAUAAGCAUUCCGCCUGGGGAGUACGGUCGCAAGAUUAAAACUCAAAGGAAUUGACGGGGGCCCGCACAAGCAGCGGAGCAUGUGGUUUAAUUCGAAGCAACGCGAAGAACCUUACCAGGUCUUGACAUCCAAUUAAAGCUGAAGAGAUUCAGUGUGUGCUUGCACAAAUUGAGACAGGAGGUGCAUGGCC